Molecule: ribosomal RNA, 449 nt
Filed under: uncultured Roseburia sp.
Lineage: Bacteria; Bacillati; Bacillota; Clostridia; Lachnospirales; Lachnospiraceae
Description: bacterial SSU rRNA
Rfam family: Bacterial small subunit ribosomal RNA
Source: RNAcentral
UGGGGAAUCUUCCGCAAUGGGGCGCAAGCCUGACGGAGCAACGCCGCGUGAGUGAAGAAGGGUUUCGACUCGUAAAGCUCUGUUGUCGGGGACGAACGUGGAGACUAUGAAUAAUGGUUUUCAAUGACGGUACCUGACUAAGAAGCACCGGCUAAAUACGUGCCAGCAGCCGCGGUAAUACGUAUGGUGCAAGCGUUAUCCGGAUUUACUGGGUGUAAAGGGAGCGCAGGCGGUGCGGCAAGUCUGAUGUGAAAGCCCGGGGCUCAACCCCGGUACUGCAUUGGAAACUGUCGUACUAGAGUGUCGGAGGGGUAAGUGGAAUUCCUAGUGUAGCGGUGAAAUGCGUAGAUAUUAGGAGGAACACCAGCGGCGAAGGCGGCUUACUGGACGAUAACUGACGCUGAGGCUCGAAAGCGUGGGGAGCAAGCAGGAUUAGAUACCCUGGUAGU